GGAGAGUUUGUGUAUCUGGUGAGCACCACAGGCUUCAACCCUGAUUGACGGUUUUUGUGUAAACGCCGUGAGAGGUUCGAUUCCUCUACUCUCUCGCCA
RNAcentral lists this transfer RNA (99 nucleotides) under Aliarcobacter cryaerophilus. RNAcentral's name for it is "Arcobacter cryaerophilus tRNA-Sec". It matches the Rfam family "tRNA". Rfam says of the family: Transfer RNA (tRNA) molecules are approximately 80 nucleotides in length. Their secondary structure includes four short double-helical elements and three loops (D, anti-codon, and T loops). Further hydrogen bonds mediate the characteristic L-shaped molecular structure. tRNAs have two regions of fundamental functional importance: the anti-codon, which is responsible for specific mRNA codon recognition, and the 3' end, to which the tRNAs corresponding amino acid is attached (by aminoacyl-tRNA synthetases). tRNAs cope with the degeneracy of the genetic code in two manners: having more than one tRNA (with a specific anti-codon) for a particular amino acid; and 'wobble' base-pairing, i.e. permitting non-standard base-pairing at the 3rd anti-codon position. The record is from RNAcentral. Lineage: Bacteria; Pseudomonadati; Campylobacterota; Epsilonproteobacteria; Campylobacterales; Arcobacteraceae. RNAcentral also lists the same sequence under 6 other names.